CAUCACUAUGGAACAGUCUAAAUCAGCACCUGCAUGUAUGAGGUUGUGGUUUUCAGCCAGGGAGUGGAGGAUAGAACAAACUCGGCCUGGAGUGAGUAUCCGCCCAAAUGGACGCAGUUCAAGUGCAAACUUCCUCUUAAGACCGAAGUUGAGGCUGCCAGACAGUUUUCAGAUACACUCCUCGUUAGUAUAGUGGACAGUAUCUCUGCUUGUCACGCAGAAGACCAGGGUUCGAUUCCCUGACGGGGAGCUUCUUUUCAAAAGGCAACUACAAACUUUUCACUCUCCUUGGCUUCUCCUGUCCUAUGCAACACAACUCAUGCUGAUUAACACUAUUUUACUACUGAAACUACAGGUCCUGAACAGACUGUUGCUAAAAGCAUGAGUCCAGAUUGUCACACUUCUGUCACUUAGCAAAAGUGUUACAAUGUUGUCAAAGAAGUGCUGAAUCAAACGAAUGCAUGCAGGAGGACAUCUCUCAGAUGAUGCCAAUCGGUUGGCUUCAUCAGUGGCCUUAUGCGCAGCCUGGAAGAGCUGUCUUUUUAUUGACCAGUUGCAAGAAGAGCCACCGCUGCAGAGAAGGCAGGACAAAUGGACAGUGUUUCCGCCCAGUUUCAAACUGAGGACCUUUCCUAUGUUAGGCGAUCGUGAUACCACGGCGACACUAAAGAAACCUCGGCUCAAUCCACUACUGGUAUUGCCCUUUUGUCUUUGCAGAAGUACUUUGGAGAAGGUCUUGAACUAACAGAUUCAUCAGGCAUUGACCAUCAUCACUAUGGAACAGUCUAAAUCAGCACCUGCAUGUAGGAGGUUGUGGUUU
Gasterosteus aculeatus aculeatus (three-spined stickleback) is the source of this 820-nucleotide long non-coding RNA. The record is from Ensembl. Lineage: Eukaryota; Metazoa; Chordata; Actinopteri; Perciformes; Gasterosteidae.